RNAcentral lists this unclassified non-coding RNA (192 nucleotides) under uncultured fungus. RNAcentral's name for it is "sequence contains ITS1". The record is from RNAcentral. Lineage: Eukaryota; Fungi.
ACGUAUCCGAGGCGUGGCGCGCGGUUCCCGGCUCCGGCCCAAACGGCCGUGCAGCGGGAGCCCGCCCCGUCCAACCUCACAAACCACCGUGAACCUUUACGGCGGAAGGAGGGGCGACCCUCUGGAAGCCGCAUACCCAAACCCCAGUUUGCAAAGAAUGUCGUGCGGACUUGAGCCGCCUAAACAACGUAA